AGUGAACGCUGGCGGUAGGCCUAACACAUGCAAGUCGAACGGCAGCACAGUAAGAUCUUGCUCUUACGGGUGGCGAGUGGCGGACGGGUGAGGAAUACAUCGGAAUCUACUUUUUCGUGGGGGAUAACGUAGGGAAACUUACGCUAAUACCGCAUACGACCUACGGGUUAAAGCAGGGGAUCUUCGGACCUUGCGCGAUUGAAUGAGCCGAUGUCGGAUUAGCUAGUUGGCGGGGUAAAGGCCCACCAAGGCGACGAUCCGUAGCUGGUCUGAGAGGAUGAUCAGCCACACUGGAACUGAGACACGGUCCAGACUCCUACGGGAGGCAGCAGUAGGGAAUAUUGGACAAUGGGCGCAAGCCUGAUCCAGCCAUACCGCGUGGGUGAAGAAGGCCUUCGGGUUGUAAAACCCUUUUGUUGGGAAAGAAAAGCAGCAGGUUAAUACCCCGCUGUUCUGACGGUACCCAAAGAAUAAGCACCGGCUAACUUCGUG
Molecule: ribosomal RNA, 492 nt
Filed under: uncultured bacterium
Lineage: Bacteria
Description: partial 16S ribosomal RNA
Rfam family: Bacterial small subunit ribosomal RNA
Source: RNAcentral